Long non-coding RNA from Gossypium arboreum, 468 nucleotides. RefSeq lists it as uncharacterized. The transcript has 2 exons. NCBI's taxonomy places the organism in Eukaryota, Viridiplantae, Streptophyta, Magnoliopsida, Malvales, Malvaceae. The record is from RefSeq and is a predicted model, not a curated record.
GGUAAAUGUUUCAUGAUAAUGGGUUAGGUAAAUGUUUCAUGAUAAGAAUUUCAUGUCUUUUGUAUUAAAGAAUUAAAUGGAUGAAAUAUGAAGUUUUAUUAAAAGAAAAAGGGGUGAAAAGAACAAAGUUUUGUCCAUCUUUGUUCAUCAUAGCUGAAAGUUAGAGAAGAGAAAUGAGAGGAGAAAGCUCGAGUAUUUGGUCAUUAGGAGGAGGAAAAUUGAAGGAAAUCCCCAACCAUAGUGGGCUUGGAGCUGUGAGGGAAUUCGGAGUGGCCACCCGUUCUGAAAGUUUGAUUUUCUUCUGGUGAACUGAACAUCCUUUUAUUUACGUUUGAAGUUUUGGGUUUUUAAAUGUAAUAAGGCCGCUUAAUUAUUUUUGAUGGUUUUAAUAUGUAUUACUAAGAUAGGUAUUACUUAUUUUAACUGUCGAAAUUGGAUAGCUUUAGGGCGCGUUUUCAAAAACAACAA